UACAGAGGUGGCGAGCGUUGUUCGGAUUUACUGGGCGUAAAGGGCGCGUAGGCGGUUUCGUGUGUCGGAUGUGAAAUCCCACCGCUCAACGGUGGAACUGCAUUCGAAACUGCGGAACUUGAGUACAGGAGAGGAGAGCGGAAUUCUUGGUGUAGCAGUGAAAUGCGUUGAUAUCAAGAGGAACGCCAGUGGCGAAGGCGGCUCUCUGGAAUGCUACUGACGCUGAGGCACGAAAGUUGGGGGAG
RNAcentral lists this ribosomal RNA (245 nucleotides) under uncultured bacterium. Its description in RNAcentral is "partial 16S ribosomal RNA". It matches the Rfam family "Bacterial small subunit ribosomal RNA", at positions 524 to 768 of the family's 1533-position model. The record is from RNAcentral.